This 417-nucleotide long non-coding RNA is filed under the name Papio anubis (olive baboon). RNAcentral's name for it is "lncRNA (ENSPANG00000044806.1)". The record is from RNAcentral. Lineage: Eukaryota; Metazoa; Chordata; Mammalia; Primates; Cercopithecidae.
GACUAUGGAAGAAUAGCAUAUCCUAAGGGAGAUUAUAAUUAAAGCAUAACAGAUUGUAUUUUUCUUUUUCAGAGGAAUUACAAAGAUCAAGAUGAAUUCAGUGAAGCUUCCCAUAGGACUGUUCAAAGAUCUCCAGGUCUCUCAGCCGUGGAUACCAGCACCUGCUCCAGUGGAGUUAGCAAGAAAAUGAAGUGGACUCUGUGAGGAACCUUACUUGUGUUUUUGACAUCCUGUGCGCUCUCAACUCCAAAUUCUCUCUGCUCAAGUCAUCAAGACUACUGGGGUCAAACUGAACUUUCCCUCUCUUCUCUGUGACCAGGAAAUUCACUACAGGUAGGAAACUCGACAGUCAUAGGAUUACCUUUAUUUGUUUCUGUUUUCACAGGGAUUCCUGGCAUCACUACCAAUUAAUUAAAG